AUUGAACGCUGGCGGCAGGCUUAACACAUGCAAGUCGAGCGGGGAAAGGUAGCUUGCUACCUGACCUAGCGGCGGACGGGUGAGUAAUGCUUAGGAAUCUGCCUAUUAGUGGGGGACAACGUUCCGAAAGGAACGCUAAUACCGCAUACGUCCUACGGGAGAAAGCAGGGGAUCUUCGGACCUUGCGCUAAUAGAUGAGCCUAAGUCGGAUUAGCUAGUUGGUGGGGUAAAGGCCUACCAAGGCGACGAUCUGUAGCGGGUCUGAGAGGAUGAUCCGCCACACUGGGACUGAGACACGGCCCAGACUCCUACGGGAGGCAGCAGUGGGGAAUAUUGGACAAUGGGCGCAAGCCUGAUCCAGCCAUGCCGCGUGUGUGAAGAAGGCCUUUUGGUUGUAAAGCACUUUAAGCGAGGAGGAGGCUCCUUUAGUUAAUACCUAAAGUGAGUGGACGUUACUCGCAGAAUAAGCACCGGCUAACUCUGUGCCAGCCGCCGCAGUAAAAC
This 504-nucleotide ribosomal RNA is filed under the name uncultured bacterium. RNAcentral describes it as "bacterial SSU rRNA". It matches the Rfam family "Bacterial small subunit ribosomal RNA", at positions 30 to 526 of the family's 1533-position model. The record is from RNAcentral.